UUUCCUUGCUUCGAAUAUUAUUAAUUAAAUCAAAACAUCAUUACUUGUCCUUUCCUCUAAGACCCAUUAAGAUACUACAUAUAUAUAUAAAUGUACGGACAUCAACGUCCGAGACGUUCGUCCAUGCCAAACGGUAACGCGUACAGGAAACAUUUGUUCAAAAUGACUUUGACUUUAGCUAAAUUUUCAAAUUGGAAUUAGCUAAUGGUCGUUCGCUUUGUAAAUGAUUAUUUCUUUUUCUUCUUUUUGCCUGCAGAUUAAGCCCUCCCUGUUUGACGGUUUAAAUUUAUUAAAUUAAAUUUAUUAAACCGAAUAUAUAUAUAUAUUCGUUUGUACUACGAUUACUCUCAUACUCUAUGUAUGGUAUUAUCAUAUCGACGCUAUCAGUUCUUACAGUAUCACGAUCAGAGUCAAUUUUAGAAUAGAAGGAGCAAUUAACGGCGGAUCGCAAAGUAAGAAGCUUAUAACAUAAUUGGCAAGGAAGUCGGAUUUUCCGGAUUCACAGACACGAAGCUCGAAUUAUUCCUGAUCGACCACCACUUUUCGUUUUUCGGCUGAAACAUCACAUGCUGGCCAUUCGUCAGCGGCUGAACGAAGAACGAUCUCUGCCCGAUCAACAUCAAGGCGUACACUUCUUCUUUGCAUAUCGUCACGACGACGAAGGAACUCGCGUCUCCUUCCAAGCUGCCUUGUCGAAGAUCGCAGUUCGCCUUGGCGUUACGUCGCUCGGACUUGGUUUUACCCUGGCGCACCCAAUUCACGGUGAAAUUCGACGACAGUAUCAAUCGAUCGUUGUCCAUGGUCCUUAAGGUCCAGUUGCUGAUCUCGAGGAACACCGGCUCUUGGUGGAGAUACUCGCGCCAAGUUUCUCGGUCUUCGUGGGUCGAUCUUCUGUUCCGCGCGCUCUCAUUCGGGAUCACUCGAGGGUAAACGAUCUCGUACUCCUGCAAGCAGGCGGUAACUCGCGUCGAUUAACGAUUCACCACCAGUAAAGUAACCGGGAAUGCAGCAAACUAGUAGUCGGUAGAACGAAGCGGAACGUAAGUGGAGCGAGCGAUAAGAGCGAUCGCGACAAUCGCACGCCUCGCCGUGCGAUUCCCACGCGAACGAAUCAUCAAAUUCGAGCCAAAGAUUCUCACUAACUCGAAGAUUCGCGCCAGUAUUUUCCACGCGCGCGUCACAGAAAUUCGAACGACUUUCGCGAAAAGGACGGAAGGAUAAGACGAUCGAUCGGAUCUCGGGUCGAUCGCGAUACCCCCGGACAGAAGGUUUCGACGAAAAAGUGGAGUAGACGCGACGAAGGAGCGUCGUGCAGCAACUGGUGGCCAAUUUAUUCACCACGUGCCGUAGGAAUUUAAUUUUCUUUCGCGCAACAACGAUCCACCAUCGGAGAAAGUAGAAUAUAAUUAAUUUCGAUCUCGUGUCGAUCGCGACUUUCCGGAUGGAACGUUUCGCCGAAGAGGUGGAAUAAACGCGACGAAGGAGCGUCAUGCAGCAACCGAUGGCCAAUUUUUCCACCACGUGGCACCAUGUGGAAAUUUAAACGUUUCCCAUGAAAAUGAUGCACCAUCGGUGAAAGUAAAAUACGAUAAUUAAUCGGUCGUCGAGUCGAACGUGAUAUCCCGGAUAAAAUUUUUCGAUGAAAAAAGUGGAGUAAACGCGACGAACGAGCUUCGCGUUACGACUGGCAGCCACAUGGACGGAUGAACGCGGCUGGAAACGCACGCGAGUGCAGCGGCGAAUUGUGCGUAAGAGUAAACGCGAACGCGAGACUGGAAAAAGCACCAGCGCUUAUCGCCCGCUGAAGUUCUAAUAAUGGCAGCUUUAUGUGCAAUCACCGAGAAACGAGGAUGCUGGCGAACGCAUUGUUCGACCCCGACCGAGACGAUUUAACAAGGGCCGAGGAUUUCAUCUUGAACGUUGCUCUCGACCCCACCAGAAUUCUUCGCUUUCCCUUGAACCGCGAACUCGAGAAUAUCGUAUUCAGUAAGGCGACGAAUCUAAUGAACGGGAAUUAAAUCUGUUCCGACAGCUUCCUUUGCCUGGAUGAAAGAAUAAGUACGAGAGAUAAAUUAUGUCAGAUAAUGCACAGUGAGUGACUGGCAGAAAAGUCAUAUCUACUUACGUGUAUGAAUUCUAAGUAAAAUUUAUAUUAAACAUUUCUUUUUUUGCCUAUUA
This is a long non-coding RNA of Bombus terrestris (buff-tailed bumblebee), 2178 nucleotides long. RefSeq lists it as uncharacterized. The record is from RefSeq and is a predicted model, not a curated record. NCBI's taxonomy places the organism in Eukaryota, Metazoa, Arthropoda, Insecta, Hymenoptera, Apidae. The transcript has 2 exons.